RNAcentral lists this long non-coding RNA (324 nucleotides) under Setaria viridis. RNAcentral describes it as "long non-coding RNA (SVIR_LNC009407)". Lineage: Eukaryota; Viridiplantae; Streptophyta; Magnoliopsida; Poales; Poaceae. The record is from RNAcentral.
AACAAAACGUCGAGGGGGGAACGGAGAAGGCUAAGGCACAACGCGUUCAAAAGAACAUCAACUGAGCUACUAGGUGACAUAAGUUCCUCAACAUUGUUGAAAAUGCCAAUGGUGAUAGGGAACAUGCUAAAUCUCAUCGGGAUGGGAGGAGAAGGUGAACAUGCUAAAUCUCAAAAGAACAUCAACAAGUAGCGCACUCUCCACCACCGCAACCUCGAGCGAGAAUUCACCAUGGACUACAACGACCACAAGGUCUACAUGACUCCAAAGGAGAACCUUGUCGCCGCCAACGAAGAGCUCACCACUCUCCUUCCCAACACCCCA